GCCCUUGUAGCUCAGUUGGUAGAGCGCGUCCUUGGUAAGGACGAGGUCACCGGUUCAAAUCCGGUCAAGGGCUCCA
This 76-nucleotide transfer RNA is filed under the name Limisphaerales bacterium. RNAcentral's name for it is "tRNA-Thr". It matches the Rfam family "tRNA". From Rfam's summary of the family: Transfer RNA (tRNA) molecules are approximately 80 nucleotides in length. Their secondary structure includes four short double-helical elements and three loops (D, anti-codon, and T loops). Lineage: Bacteria; Pseudomonadati; Verrucomicrobiota; Verrucomicrobiia; Limisphaerales. The record is from RNAcentral.